RNAcentral lists this ribosomal RNA (496 nucleotides) under uncultured bacterium. RNAcentral's name for it is "partial 16S ribosomal RNA". It matches the Rfam family "Bacterial small subunit ribosomal RNA", at positions 28 to 506 of the family's 1533-position model. The record is from RNAcentral.
GAUGAACGCUGGCGGCGUGCCUAAUACAUGCAAGUCGAGCGAACGGACGAGAAGCUUGCUUCUCUGAUGUUAGCGGCGGACGGGUGAGUAACACGUGGAUAACCUACCUAUAAGACUGGGAUAACUUCGGGAAACCGGAGCUAAUACCGGAUAAUAUUUUGAACCGCAUGGUUCAAAAGUGAAAGACGGUCUUGCUGUCACUUAUAGAUGGAUCAGCGCUGCAUUAGCUAGUUGGUAAGGUAACGGCUUACCAAGGCAACGAUGCAUAGCCGACCUGAGAGGGUGAUCGGCCACACUGGAACUGAGACACGGUCCAGACUCCUACGGGAGGCAGCAGUAGGGAAUCUUCCGCAAUGGGCGAAAGCCUGACGGAGCAACGCCGCGUGAGUGAUGAAGGUCUUCGGAUCGUAAAACUCUGUUAUUAGGGAAGAACAUAUGUGUAAGUAACUGUGCACAUCUUGACGGUACCUAAUCAGAAAGCCACGGCUAACUACGU